GAUGAACGCUGGCGGCGUGCCUAAUACAUGCAAGUCGAGCGAACAGACGAGGAGCUUGCUCCUCUGACGUUAGCGGAGGACGGGUGAGUAACACGUGGAUAACCUACCUAUAAGACUGGGAUAACUUCGGGAAACCGGAGAUAAUACCGGAUAAUAUAUUGAACCGCAUGGUUCAAUAGUGAAAGACGGUUUUGCUGUCACUUCUAGAUGGAUCCGCGCCGCAUUAGCUAGUUGGUAAGGUAACGGCUUACCAAGGCAACGAUGCGUAGCCGACCUGAGAGGGUGAUCGGCCACACUGGAACUGAGACACGGUCCAGACGCCUACGGUAGGCAGCAGUAGGCAAUCUUCCGCAAUGGUCGAAAGCCUGACGGAGCAACGCCGCGUGAGUUAUGAAGGUCUUCGGAUCGUAAAGCUCUGUUAUUAGUGAAGAACAAAUGUGUAAGUAACUAUGCACGUCUUGACGGUACCUAAUCAGAAAGCCACGGCUAACUACGUG
This 497-nucleotide ribosomal RNA is filed under the name uncultured bacterium. RNAcentral's name for it is "partial 16S ribosomal RNA". It matches the Rfam family "Bacterial small subunit ribosomal RNA", at positions 28 to 507 of the family's 1533-position model. The record is from RNAcentral.